This 274-nucleotide ribosomal RNA is filed under the name uncultured bacterium. RNAcentral's name for it is "partial 16S ribosomal RNA". It matches the Rfam family "Bacterial small subunit ribosomal RNA", at positions 523 to 796 of the family's 1533-position model. The record is from RNAcentral.
AGACGAACCGUCCAAACGUUAUUCGGAAUUACUGGGCUUAAAGGGUGCGUAGGCGGCGCGGUCAGUCAGAUGUGAAAUCGUACAGCUCAACUGUACAACUGCGUCCGAAACUACCGUGCUUGAGGAAGGCAGAGGUGAGCGGAACUCAGGGUGGAGCGGUGAAAUGCGUUGAUAUCCUGGGGAACACCGGUGGCGAAGGCGGCUCACUGGGCCUUUUCUGACGCUGAGGCACGAAAGCUAGGGUAGCGAACAGGAUUAGAAACCCGGGUAGUCC